UUAAGCGACUAAGCGUACACGGUGGAUGCCCUGGCAGUCAGAGGCGAUGAAGGACGUGCUAAUCUGCGAUAAGCGUCGGUAAGGUGAUAUGAACCGUUAUAACCGGCGAUUUCCGAAUGGGGAAACCCAGUGUGAUUCGUCACACUAUCAUUAACUGAAUCCAUAGGUUAAUGAGGCGAACCGGGGGAACUGAAACAUCUAAGUACCCCGAGGAAAAGAAAUCAACCGAGAUUCCCCCAGUAGCGGCGAGCGAACGGGGAGCAGCCCAGAGCCUGAAUCAGUGUGUGUGUUAGUGGAAGCGUCUGGAAAGGCGCGCGAUACAGGGUGACAGCCCCGUACACAAAAAUGCACAUGCUGUGAGCUCGAUGAGUAGGGCGGGACACGUGGUAUCCUGUCUGAAUAUGGGGGGACCAUCCUCCAAGGCUAAAUACUCCUGACUGACCGAUAGUGAACCAGUACCGUGAGGGAAAGGCGAAAAGAACCCCGGCGAGGGGAGUGAAAAAGAACCUGAAACCGUGUACGUACAAGCAGUGGGAGCACGCUUAGGCGUGUGACUGCGUACCUUUUGUAUAAUGGGUCAGCGACUUAUAUUCUGUAGCAAGGUUAACCGAAUAGGGGAGCCGAAGGGAAACCGAGUCUUAACUGGGCGUUAAGUUGCAGGGUAUAGACCCGAAACCCGGUGAUCUAGCCAUGGGCAGGUUGAAGGUUGGGUAACACUAACUGGAGGACCGAACCGACUAAUGUUGAAAAAUUAGCGGAUGACUUGUGGCUGGGGGUGAAAGGCCAAUCAAACCGGGAGAUAGCUGGUUCUCCCCGAAAGCUAUUUAGGUAGCGCCUCGUGAAUUCAUCUCCGGGGGUAGAGCACUGUUUCGGCAAGGGGGUCAUCCCGACUUACCAACCCGAUGCAAACUGCGAAUACCGGAGAAUGUUAUCACGGGAGACACACGGCGGGUGCUAACGUCCGUCGUGAAGAGGGAAACAACCCAGACCGCCAGCUAAGGUCCCAAAGUCAUGGUUAAGUGGGAAACGAUGUGGGAAGGCCCAGACAGCCAGGAUGUUGGCUUAGAAGCAGCCAUCAUUUAAAGAAAGCGUAAUAGCUCACUGGUCGAGUCGGCCUGCGCGGAAGAUGUAACGGGGCUAAACCAUGCACCGAAGCUGCGGCAGCGACGCUGAUGCGUUGUUGGGUAGGGGAGCGUUCUGUAAGCCUGCGAAGGUGUGCUGUGAGGCAUGCUGGAGGUAUCAGAAGUGCGAAUGCUGACAUAAGUAACGAUAAAGCGGGUGAAAAGCCCGCUCGCCGGAAGACCAAGGGUUCCUGUCCAACGUUAAUCGGGGCAGGGUGAGUCGACCCCUAAGGCGAGGCCGAAAGGCGUAGUCGAUGGGAAACAGGUUAAUAUUCCUGUACUUGGUGUUACUGCGAAGGGGGGACGGAGAAGGCUAUGUUGGCCGGGCGACGGUUGUCCCGGUUUAAGCGUGUAGGCUGGUUUUCCAGGCAAAUCCGGAAAAUCAAGGCUGAGGCGUGAUGACGAGGCACUACGGUGCUGAAGCAACAAAUGCCCUGCUUCCAGGAAAAGCCUCUAAGCAUCAGGUAACAUCAAAUCGUACCCCAAACCGACACAGGUGGUCAGGUAGAGAAUACCAAGGCGCUUGAGAGAACUCGGGUGAAGGAACUAGGCAAAAUGGUGCCGUAACUUCGGGAGAAGGCACGCUGAUAUGUAGGUGAAGUCCCUCGCGGAUGGAGCUGAAAUCAGUCGAAGAUACCAGCUGGCUGCAACUGUUUAUUAAAAACACAGCACUGUGCAAACACGAAAGUGGACGUAUACGGUGUGACGCCUGCCCGGUGCCGGAAGGUUAAUUGAUGGGGUUAGCGCAAGCGAAGCUCUUGAUCGAAGCCCCGGUAAACGGCGGCCGUAACUAUAACGGUCCUAAGGUAGCGAAAUUCCUUGUCGGGUAAGUUCCGACCUGCACGAAUGGCGUAAUGAUGGCCAGGCUGUCUCCACCCGAGACUCAGUGAAAUUGAACUCGCUGUGAAGAUGCAGUGUACCCGCGGCAAGACGGAAAGACCCCGUGAACCUUUACUAUAGCUUGACACUGAACAUUGAGCCUUGAUGUGUAGGAUAGGUGGGAGGCUUUGAAGUGUGGACGCCAGUCUGCAUGGAGCCGACCUUGAAAUACCACCCUUUAAUGUUUGAUGUUCUAACGUGGACCCGUAAUCCGGGUUGCGGACAGUGUCUGGUGGGUAGUUUGACUGGGGCGGUCUCCUCCUAAAGAGUAACGGAGGAGCACGAAGGUUGGCUAAUCCUGGUCGGACAUCAGGAGGUUAGUGCAAUGGCAUAAGCCAGCUUGACUGCGAGCGUGACGGCGCGAGCAGGUGCGAAAGCAGGUCAUAGUGAUCCGGUGGUUCUGAAUGGAAGGGCCAUCGCUCAACGGAUAAAAGGUACUCCGGGGAUAACAGGCUGAUACCGCCCAAGAGUUCAUAUCGACGGCGGUGUUUGGCACCUCGAUGUCGGCUCAUCACAUCCUGGGGCUGAAGUAGGUCCCAAGGGUAUGGCUGUUCGCCAUUUAAAGUGGUACGCGAGCUGGGUUUAGAACGUCGUGAGACAGUUCGGUCCCUAUCUGCCGUGGGCGCUGGAGAACUGAGGGGGGCUGCUCCUAGUACGAGAGGACCGGAGUGGACGCAUCACUGGUGUUCGGGUUGUCAUGCCAAUGGCACUGCCCGGUAGCUAAAUGCGGAAGAGAUAAGUGCUGAAAGCAUCUAAGCACGAAACUUGCCCCGAGAUGAGUUCUCCCUGACCCUUUAAGGGUCCUGAAGGAACGUUGAAGACGACGACGUUGAUAGGCCGGGUGUGUAAGCGCAGCGAUGCGUUGAGCUAACCGGUACUAAUGAACCGUGAGGCUUAACCU
RNAcentral lists this ribosomal RNA (2901 nucleotides) under Escherichia coli. RNAcentral describes it as "bacterial LSU rRNA". It matches the Rfam family "Bacterial large subunit ribosomal RNA". Lineage: Bacteria; Pseudomonadati; Pseudomonadota; Gammaproteobacteria; Enterobacterales; Enterobacteriaceae. The record is from RNAcentral.